UAUAAUAUUUAAUGAAAUUAUUUAUGAAUUUUUUAUAAAAAGAUAAAUGACCUUUAUUUGUUAACAACAUUGUAUGGUUUAACUAGUAAGAAAAAAAAUAGAAUUGUAAAAAAUAAUACCUAAUUGCCUUUAGAAGUGUAGAAAAUGCACUGCUGGAAUUGGGUUAGUGUGUGGCGGUUGUGUAGAAUGCAGGACACGUGGCAGAGCAUGAGUGGAUGAAGUGUUUCAUACUUGGUCCGCCUGGAGACGUGGUGCAUGCUGGAUGGUUGGAGUGGAGGGUGCACGAGAUGGAGUAUGGUCACACUGGCAGGAGAUCAUGUGUUCCAAUGGGCAUGGCGAUUCAGUAUGGAUAGGUGUAGUAGAGCUGGGAUGCGUUCCACCACUUGAUUGGCUGGCUGGAGUCAAUGUGAAGGAAAAGUAAAAGUAAGUAGAUCAGAUUGCUCAAAAUCAACAAGAAAAGCAAGUUCAUGGAAUUGCAAGAGACCAGUCUGCAUUGGAUCUGUUGGCUUUGAAAUUUUCCC
Molecule: long non-coding RNA, 521 nt
Filed under: Lupinus angustifolius (narrow-leaved blue lupine)
Lineage: Eukaryota; Viridiplantae; Streptophyta; Magnoliopsida; Fabales; Fabaceae
Description: long non-coding RNA (LANG_LNC003026)
Source: RNAcentral